RNAcentral lists this transfer RNA (68 nucleotides) under Curculionoidea sp. 4 KM-2017. RNAcentral's name for it is "tRNA-Ser". The record is from RNAcentral. Lineage: Eukaryota; Metazoa; Arthropoda; Insecta; Coleoptera.
AAACUAAGGGAAUCGAGAUAGAGUUUCUAACUUUAAACCUUAAGCGGAGUAUCACCGUUUUUAGUUUA